Long non-coding RNA from Triticum aestivum (bread wheat), 2273 nucleotides. RefSeq lists it as uncharacterized. The transcript has 4 exons. Lineage: Eukaryota; Viridiplantae; Streptophyta; Magnoliopsida; Poales; Poaceae. The record is from RefSeq and is a predicted model, not a curated record.
GCCGCCUCCGCUCGCCUCGCCAUCGCUGGCACCUACCCGAGGAGUGGGUUCGCAGUCCUGCCCCCUCCCUUCCUCCUCUCCCGGUUCGUUCUCCCUCCCAUCCCAAGCCAGCUGCCGCCCCCACCCUAUUGUCGAUCUCCUCUCCCCCAACCUCGGUGUCGCCUCCUCCCUCUCUCCCAUAGGCGCCCGCCGCUGCCGUUUCACCUUCUCGAGAAGGUCAGGUGGAGGCCAGAUCCGCCAUGCCCACAGCGUUGCUUCCGCUGACACGCUCCUGUGCCGUUCCCAAGCCCGAUACAAAGGAGAUGCACGGCCAUCCCCUCCCCGUGCGGUGGUGGACGCAGGAGGUGCACGUCUCCGUCGAGGUCAUCGCGAUUGGGUGAGAACCCUAGCUGAUGCUCUGACCCUCACAACCCUCGCUUCGCCCCCUCCUUUCUCUUUCGCCUCUGGAUCCGGCCGCCGCCACUGUCUCUCUGCCUUGCCCCGCCGUCCUGUUCCUGGUGAGACGAGGUCCUUCCUUUCUAUUGCUCACAUCAGUCAUCCAGUUCUAGGCAGUGGAUGAAUCACUGAGAUUGGGAGCAGAGGCAAGGAUGUUGCCUCGCCCCUGCUUCUGACCUGGACUGGAUCUCGUUGGUUCUUGCUCAACCUGCCAAAGGUCUAUAUGUUUAAGAAUGACUCCACUCAUGUCCCCUUUAAAGGAUCCAUUAAGAUCAUGGAUGAUUCAAUUCUAGAGAUUAAUGUGGAGAAAAUAAUAAUCAGAUGCAAAAGAUGAGUAUGCAUCAUUAAUAUGCAUCCUAAGGGGCAAAGAUGUAGUCCUCCAGAGCGGUUGGAAAGAAGAAGAAGAUGGGUUGUUUGAUGUGUUCGUGCUUGUCGGCGGGACGGUGCAAGGCGCAACUCCGAUGCGGUUCCUCGCCGGUUCGACGGCAUUCAGGCGCAACCCCGACAUGCACUGAGUACUGCCUCAGCUACAGCCUCCCUCGGUGAAGUCCAUCUUCCUCCCGCUCCUCUGCUUCGGCUACUUUAUGGGACAUGUCCAUGGCUAUAUUGAUGUGGUGCUCGUCUGGUUGAUGCUCUAUGCCCUACUCAUGCAUCGGCUCUUGUAGUUGUGGAUCCAUGCCAUUUUAGGGUUUGCGGGAUGUUGUUCAUGUUUAGUUGCUAUCAUAGGAGCUAAUGUGAUGCUCUGGUUUACAUGUGGAUGCCCUGGUCCUAUAGCUAUGCUCCUGGAUUUGCUAGAUUGAUUAGUGGCGUUCGUUCUAGGGCGAUGAUGAUUAAUCGUGGCUGAAAUAAGUGUGCCUUUGAGAAAUCGUGGCACCUGUGCGUAUCAGGUUGGAUCCUCCCUCUUGUCUCUAGAAUCCUUUUUGAUCCUGUGAUACUUGUUGUUGUCCUUGGAUGGUCAUUUGUUGAGCGAUAACCAGGGCAGCUCCACUGUAUGAACAGAUUGAUCUGGUGAUAAGAGAUGACGGGGUAGGUUAUAUGAUCGAGGAAAGGUGAAUCUGAGCCCGCUAUGCAAUGAACCCUGAAUCGAGAAUCCCAUCCCAUCCCCUUGUUAGAGUCUGAAGCAAAAUGGAGCUCUCCCAUUCAUUUGGAUUCUAGACCGUUCGAUCGGUUUCCUGAUGCGAUUUCGGCCGUCGGAUCUCGGGCUCGGCUCACGUGAGGCGUCGGAUAUUUACCAAAUCGUUGUGAGCCGUCGGAUAAAAUUCCAAUGGCAAUAGAAUGUAAAUACCAUGCCCCCACGAGGGCAUCUGGGUCAUUUCGCUUAGGGGGGCAGGGGUAUAAAACGAUCGCGGCUUCCUGCGAUGAAAACCUAGCUGCCGCCUCCUCUCUCUCACUCGCUCCUGUAGCUGCCUCCCUCCCUCCCACGCAGGUGGUUCCCAUGGCGAUGGCGGCAGCGGCCACGGAGGAGGGCGGCAUAUCAGCGGCGCCGGCGAUGGCGUCCGUGGCGGCCAUGCAAUGAGCCCUGAACCAUUUUUUAUUUGUAUUUAAAGGUGUUGCUUAUUUAUGCUCAACGUUAUUCGUGCCAGGGCGAUGAUGAUUACCUUGGCUGGAAUUAGUGUGCCUUUGAGCAAUUGAGGCACCAGUGGGUAUCAAGUUGGAUCCUCCCUCUUGUCUCUAGAAUCCUUUUUGAUCAUGUGAUACUUGUUGUUGUCCUUGGAUGGUCAUUCUUGUUGAGUGAUAACCAGGGCAGCUCUACUGUAUAAACAGAUCGAUCUGGUGAUAAGAGAUGAUGGGGGUAGCCUAUAUGAUCAAGGAAAGGAAAAUCUGAGCCCACUAUGCAA